AUACGGAGGGUGCAAGCGUUAAUCGGAAUUACUGGGCGUAAAGCGUACGUAGGCGGUCCGUUAAGUUAGAUGUGAAAGCCCCGGGCUUAACCUGGGAACUGCAUUUAAAACUGGCGAACUAGAGUUGAGUAGAGGGGAGUGGAAUUUCAGGUGUAGCGGUGAAAUGCGUAGAGAUCUGAAGGAACACCAGUGGCGAAGGCGACUCCCUGGACUCGAACUGACGCUGAGGUACGAAAGCGUGGGUAGCAAACGGGAUUAGAAACCCUAGUAGUCC
RNAcentral lists this ribosomal RNA (274 nucleotides) under uncultured bacterium. Its description in RNAcentral is "partial 16S ribosomal RNA". It matches the Rfam family "Bacterial small subunit ribosomal RNA", at positions 523 to 796 of the family's 1533-position model. The record is from RNAcentral.